UACAGCCAUAUCAUGUUGAAACAUUGGUUCCUGUAUGAUCACCACAGUUAAGCAAUGUCAAGCCUUGUCAGUACCUAGAUGGAUGACUGCUUGGGAAUCGCAGGUACUGUAAG
Molecule: non-coding RNA, 113 nt
Organism: Acanthosepion pharaonis
Lineage: Eukaryota; Metazoa; Mollusca; Cephalopoda; Sepiida; Sepiidae
Source: the annotation of a GenBank genome assembly